AUUGAACGCUAGCGGGAUGCCUUACACAUGCAAGUCGAACGGAGUGGCGAACGGGUGAGGAAUGUAUCGGAACGUGCCCAGUAGCGGGGGAUAACUACGCGAAAGCGUAGCUAAUACCGCAUACUAUUGGAGCGGCCGAUAUCGGAUGAGCUAGUGGGUGGGGUAACGGCUCACCAAGGCCACGAUCCGUAGCUGGUUUGAGAGGACGACCAGCCACACUGGGACUGAGACACGGCCCAGACUCCUACGGGAGGCAGCAGUGGGGAAUAUUGGACAAUGGGUGAAACCCUGAUCCAGCCAUCCCGCGUGUGCGAUGAAGGCCUUCGGGUUGUAAAGUACUUUCAGCGAGGAGGCGUUACUCGCAGAAGAGGCACCGGCUAACUCCGUGCCAGCAGCCGCGGUAAUAC
RNAcentral lists this ribosomal RNA (407 nucleotides) under uncultured bacterium. Its description in RNAcentral is "partial 16S ribosomal RNA". It matches the Rfam family "Bacterial small subunit ribosomal RNA", at positions 30 to 526 of the family's 1533-position model. The record is from RNAcentral.